Molecule: ribosomal RNA, 274 nt
Filed under: uncultured bacterium
Lineage: Bacteria
Description: partial 16S ribosomal RNA
Rfam family: Bacterial small subunit ribosomal RNA
Source: RNAcentral
AUACGGAGGGACCAAGCGUUGUUCGGAAUCAUUGGGCGUAAAGCGGGUGUAGGCGGUGGAGUAAGUCGGAUGUGAAAUCCCGGGGCCCAACCCCGGAACUGCAUUCGAAACUGCUUCACUAGAGUCCCGGAGAGGAAGGCGGAAUUCCCGGUGUAGAGGUGAAAUUCGUAGAUAUCGGGAGGAACACCAGUGGCGAAGGCGGCCUUCUGGACGGUGACUGACGCUCAGACCCGAAAGCGUGGGGAGCAAACAGGAUUAGAAACCCCUGUAGUCC